GAUGAAGAACGUAGCGAAAUGCGAUAAGUAAUGCGAAUUGCAGAAUUCAGUGAGUCAUCGAAUCUUUGAACGCACAUUGCGCCCUGUGGUAUUCCGCAGGGCAUGCCUGUUCGAGCGUCAUUUCAACCCUCAAGCUCUGCUUGGUGUUGGGCCCUGCCCGCUGCGGCCGGCCCUACAGACAGUGGCGGUGCCGCCUGGCCCUGAGCGUAGUACAUCUCUCGCUCCAGUGCCCGGUGGUAGCCUGCCAGAACCCCAACUCUCGUGGUUGACCUCGGAUCAGGUAGGGAUACCCGCUGAACUUAAGCAUAUCAAUAAGCGGAGGA
This 323-nucleotide unclassified non-coding RNA is filed under the name soil metagenome. RNAcentral describes it as "partial contains 5.8S ribosomal RNA, internal transcribed spacer 2, and large subunit ribosomal RNA". The stretch from base 1 to 120 matches the Rfam family "5.8S ribosomal RNA", at positions 35 to 154 of the family's 154-position model. The record is from RNAcentral.